Molecule: ribosomal RNA, 506 nt
Filed under: uncultured bacterium
Lineage: Bacteria
Description: partial 16S ribosomal RNA
Rfam family: Bacterial small subunit ribosomal RNA
Source: RNAcentral
AUUGAACGCUGGCGGCAGGCCUAACACAUGCAAGUCGAACGGCAGCACAGAAGAGCUUGCUCUUUGGGUGGCGAGUGGCGGACGGGUGAGUAAUGUCUGGGAAACUGCCCGAUGGAGGGGGAUAACUACUGGAAACGGUAGCUAAUACCGCAUAACGUCGCAAGACCAAAGUGGGGGACCUUCGGGCCUCACACCAUCGGAUGUGCCCAGAUGGGAUUAGCUAGUAGGUGGGGUAAUGGCUCACCUAGGCGACGAUCCCUAGCUGGUCUGAGAGGAUGACCAGCCACACUGGAACGGAGACACGGUCCAGACUCCUACGGGAGGCAGCAGUGGGGAAUAUUGCACAAUGGGCGCAAGCCUGAUGCAGCCAUGCGGCGUGUAUGAAGAAGGCCUUCGGGUUGUAAAGUACUUUCAGCGGGGAGGAAGGCGGUGAGGUUAAUAACCUCGCCGAUUGACGUUACCCGCAGAAGAAGCACCGGCUAACUCCGUGCCAGCCGCCGCGGUAA